Molecule: ribosomal RNA, 1363 nt
Filed under: uncultured bacterium
Lineage: Bacteria
Description: bacterial SSU rRNA
Rfam family: Bacterial small subunit ribosomal RNA
Source: RNAcentral
UUGAACGCUGGCGGCAGGCCUAACACAUGCAAGUCGAACGGUAACAGGAAGAAGCUUGCUUCUUUGCUGACGAGUGGCGGACGGGUGAGUAAUGUCUGGGAAACUGCCUGAUGGAGGGGGAUAACUACUGGAAACGGUAGCUAAUACCGCAUAACGUCGCAAGACCAAAGAGGGGGACCUUCGGGCCUCUUGCCAUCGGAUGUGCCCAGAUGGGAUUAGCUAGUAGGUGGGGUAACGGCUCACCUAGGCGACGAUCCCUAGCUGGUCUGAGAGGAUGACCAGCCACACUGGAACUGAGACACGGUCCAGACUCCUACGGGAGGCAGCAGUGGGGAAUAUUGCACAAUGGGCGCAAGCCUGAUGCAGCCAUGCCGCGUGUAUGAAGAAGGCCUUCGGGUUGUAAAGUACUUUCAGCGGGGAGGAAGGGAGUAAAGUUAAUACCUUUGCUCAUUGACGUUACCCGCAGAAGAAGCACCGGCUAACUCCGUGCCAGCAGCCGCGGUAAUACGGAGGGUGCAAGCGUUGCUCGGAAUCACUGGGCGUAAAGGGCGCGUAGGCGGGAUGGCAAGUCAGUCGUGAAAUCUCUCGGCCCAACCGAGAAACGUCGGCUGAUACUGCCGUUCUUGAGGGAUGCAGAGGAGACUGGAAUUCCCGGUGUAGCGGUGAAAUGUGUAGAGAUCGGGAGGAACACCGGUGGCGAAGGCGGGUCUCUGGGCAUUUCCUGACGCUGAGGCGCGAAAGCGUGGGGAGCAAACGGGAUUAGAUACCCCGGUAGUCCACGCUGUAAACGAUGACGACUAGGUGUGGGGUGGGUUAGUCCAUUCCGUGCCGCAGCUAACGCAUUAAGUCGUCCGCCUGGGGAGUACGGCCGCAAGGUUGAAACUCAAAGGAAUUGACGGGGGCCCGCACAAGCGGUGGAGCAUGUGGUUCAAUUCGAUGCAGAGCGAAGAACCUUACCUGGGCUUGACAUGCUGGAAGUAGAAACCCGAAAGGGCAACGACCUGUUAAGUCAGGAGCCAGCACAGGUGGUGCAUGGCUGUCGUCAGCUCGUGCCGUGAGGUGUUGGGUUAAGUCCCGCAACGAGCGCAACCCUCACCCUAUGUUGCCAACGGUUCGGCCGGGCACUCUUAGGGAACUGCCGGCGAAGAGCUGGAGGAAGGGGGGGAUGACGUCAAGUCCGUAUGCCCCUUAUGUCCAGGGCUACACACAUGCUACAAUGGUCGGUACAGAGGGUUGCCAACCCGCAAGGGGGAGCCAAUCCCAGAAAGCCGAUCUCAGUUCGGAUUGUAGGCUGCAACUCGCCUACAUGAAGUAGGAAUCGCUAGUAAGCGCAGAUCAGCAGGCUGCGCUGAAUACGUUCCCG